GGGGGAAUAUUGGGCAAUGGGCGAAAGCCUGACCCAGCAACGCCGCGUGAGGGAAGAAGGGUUUCGGCUCGUAAACCUCUGUCCUAUGGGACGAAUGAGAUGACGGUACCAUAGGAGGAAGCCCCGGCUAACUACGUGCCAGCAGCCGCGGUAAUACGGAGGAUGCGAGCGUUAUCCGGAUUUAUUGGGUUUAAAGGGUGCGCAGGCGGCGUGCCAAGUCAGCGGUCAAAGUUCCGGGCUCAACCCGGUGAUGCCGUUGAAACUGGUGUGCUUGAGUGCGUGCGAGGGAGGCGGAAUGCGUUGUGUAGCGGUGAAAUGCAUAGAUAUGACGCAGAACUCCGAUUGCGAAGGCAGCUUUCCAGCACGCCACUGACGCUGAGGCACGAAAGCGUGGGGAUCGAACAGGAUUAGAUACCCUGGUAGU
This 424-nucleotide ribosomal RNA is filed under the name uncultured Porphyromonadaceae bacterium. Its description in RNAcentral is "bacterial SSU rRNA". It matches the Rfam family "Bacterial small subunit ribosomal RNA", at positions 355 to 794 of the family's 1533-position model. Lineage: Bacteria; Pseudomonadati; Bacteroidota; Bacteroidia; Bacteroidales; Porphyromonadaceae. The record is from RNAcentral.